This 253-nucleotide unclassified non-coding RNA is filed under the name uncultured Legionellaceae bacterium. RNAcentral describes it as "contains 16S-23S intergenic spacer region". It matches the Rfam family "Bacterial small subunit ribosomal RNA", at positions 524 to 776 of the family's 1533-position model. The record is from RNAcentral. Lineage: Bacteria; Pseudomonadati; Pseudomonadota; Gammaproteobacteria; Legionellales; Legionellaceae.
UACGGAGGGUGCGAGCGUUACUCGGAAUUACUGGGCGUAAAGGGUUCGUAGGUGGUUUGUUAAGUUAUCUGUGAAAUCCCCGGGCUCAACCUGGGAAGGUCAGAUAAGACUGAUGGACUCGAGUAUAGGAGAGGGUAGUGGAAUUUCCGGUGUAGCGGUGAAAUGCGUAGAGAUCGGAAGGAACACCAGUGGCGAAGGCGGCUACCUGGCCUAAUACUGACACUGAGGAACGAAAGCGUGGGGAGCAAACAGG